RNAcentral lists this unclassified non-coding RNA (329 nucleotides) under soil metagenome. Its description in RNAcentral is "partial contains 5.8S ribosomal RNA, internal transcribed spacer 2, and large subunit ribosomal RNA". The stretch from base 1 to 120 matches the Rfam family "5.8S ribosomal RNA", at positions 35 to 154 of the family's 154-position model. The record is from RNAcentral.
GAUGAAGAACGCAGCGAAAUGCGAUACGUAAUGUGAAUUGCAGAAUUCAGUGAAUCAUCGAAUCUUUGAACGCACAUUGCGCCCCUUGGUAUUCCGAGGGGCAUGCCUAUUCGAGCGUCAUUAUCACCCCUCAAGCCUAGCUUGGUGUUGAGGCCUGCUGUCAAGGCAGCCUCUAAAAUCAGUGGCAGUGCUGUCAGGCUCUAAGCGUAGUAAAUCUAAUCGCUAUAGACACCUGGUGGACACUCGCCAGAACCCCCCCAUUUUUUAAUGAUUGACCUCGGAUUAGGUAGGGAUACCCGCUGAACUUAAGCAUAUCAAUAAGCGGAGGA